Long non-coding RNA from Nematolebias whitei (Rio pearlfish), 555 nucleotides. RefSeq lists it as uncharacterized. Lineage: Eukaryota; Metazoa; Chordata; Actinopteri; Cyprinodontiformes; Rivulidae. The record is from RefSeq and is a predicted model, not a curated record. The transcript has 9 exons.
UGCAGGUUGAAUCCUGACUGAAGUAACUCUUACCUCCAAGCAGGUUGUUGUGAUGCUUUCCCCUCCUGGUCUUCAAUGUUGAAUCGGCUGAAGAUGGAACAUCCAGCAGACUAAAUGGAGAUGGGAACGUCCAGCAGCCUAAAUAGCCAAAAUCAUAUAUAGGGCUUGGGUCAGCUUGGAAAUCUGCCAUGAACUUGUUGGAGUUUCUAGUAGAUGGCACCAACCGUCUUGGCGAAUGAUCUAGUCCGUCUGCUGAAUCUGCGCCGAAACUCAUGGAGACGCACACCUUGAGAUUCUUCAGAUAUGAAGAGCCUGUGGGAUCGAGUCCACCGGUGGUGCAGAAGAUGUCAAACUGAUGCGGCCCAACAUCACACUGGACCGCAGUUUGAAGUAGAAAGCUAAGAACUCUGGGAGGUGCAUUUAACUGAUUGAAGAUUUGUACUGACGACGUGCCACAUCAUCUGAAUCUGGGGUUGAUUUAAAAAGUUGUGAAAUUAUUUAUUUUGUUUGAGUCAUAACGUGUGCUUUGUCUUGAGUGUAAUAAAGUUGUUUUUA